UACGGAGGGAGCUAGCGUUGUUCGGAAUCAUUGGGUUUAAAGGGUCCGUAGGCGGUUUAAUAAGUCAGUGGUGAAAUCUGGUCGCUCAACGAUCAAACGGCCAUUGAUACUGUUAGACUUGAAUUAUUGUGAAGUAACUAGAAUAUGUAGUGUAGCGGUGAAAUGCUUAGAUAUUACAUGGAAUACCAAUUGCGAAGGCAGGUUACUAACAAUGGAUUGACGCUGAUGGACGAAAGCGUGGGGAGCGAACAGG
Molecule: ribosomal RNA, 253 nt
Filed under: uncultured bacterium
Lineage: Bacteria
Description: partial 16S ribosomal RNA
Rfam family: Bacterial small subunit ribosomal RNA
Source: RNAcentral